UCGAGGGGUACAGUAGCAAUACUGGAGACCGGCGCACGGGUGCGUAACGCGUAUGCAAUCUACCUUUUACAGAGGGAUAGCCCAGAGAAAUUUGGAUUAAUACCUCAUAGUAUAUUUGAAUGGCAUCAUUUGAUUAUUAAAGUUCCAACGGUAAAAGAUGAGCAUGCGUCCCAUUAGCUAGAUGGUAAGGUAACGGCUUACCAUGGCAACGAUGGGUAGGGGUCCUGAGAGGGAGAUCCCCCACACUGGUACUGAGACACGGACCAGACUCCUACGGGAGGCAGCAGUGAGGAAUAUUGGACAAUGGGCGCAAGCCUGAUCCAGCCAUGCCGCGUGCAGGAAGACGCAUCUAUGGUGUGUAAACUGCUUUUGUACGGGAAGAAACACUCCUACGUGUAGGGGCUUGACGGUACCGUAAGAAUAAGGAUCGGCUAACUCCGUGCCAGCAGCCGCGGUAAUACGGAGGAUCCAAGCGUUAUCCGGAAUCAUUGGGUUUAAAGGGUCCGUAGGCGGUUUGAUAAGUCAGUGGUGAAAGCCCAUCGCUCAACGAUGGAACGGCCAUUGAUACUGUCAGACUUGAAUUAUUGGGAAGUAACUAGAAUAUGUAGUGUAGCGGUGAAAUGCUUAGAUAUUACAUGGAAUACCAAUUGCGAAGGCAGGUUACUACCAGUACAUUGACGCUGAUGGA
This 688-nucleotide ribosomal RNA is filed under the name uncultured Bacteroidota bacterium. Its description in RNAcentral is "bacterial SSU rRNA". It matches the Rfam family "Bacterial small subunit ribosomal RNA", at positions 62 to 753 of the family's 1533-position model. The record is from RNAcentral. Lineage: Bacteria; Pseudomonadati; Bacteroidota.